Cannabis sativa is the source of this 161-nucleotide small nuclear RNA. RefSeq annotates it as U1 spliceosomal RNA. Lineage: Eukaryota; Viridiplantae; Streptophyta; Magnoliopsida; Rosales; Cannabaceae. The transcript has a single exon. The record is from RefSeq and is a predicted model, not a curated record.
UUACUUACCUGGACGGGGUCAAUAGGCGAUCAAUAAGGCCUAUGGCCUAGGCUGGUGGUUUCCAUUGCACUUAGGAGAGGUGCCUCCCUAUGGUCUCCCCAAGUGGGAGAGUCAACGUCAUAAUUUGUUCUAGUGGGGGCCUGCGUUCGCGCAGCCCCUCU